RNAcentral lists this long non-coding RNA (2082 nucleotides) under Homo sapiens (human). Its description in RNAcentral is "HSALNT0254382". Lineage: Eukaryota; Metazoa; Chordata; Mammalia; Primates; Hominidae. The record is from RNAcentral.
CUCGUGAUCCGCCCACCUCGGCCUCCCAAAGUGCUGGGAUUCCAGGUGUGAGCCACCGCACCAGGCCAUCUUUCUGUGUAUUUCUAUAGGCGUCCGCAAACUUUUUCUUUUUUCACUUGAUACUCACCUCAAUUAAGAGCAGGGAUAUUUACAUAUGAUCAGUUUAUUUUUUUUCCUAACACUAUUUAUUGAAAAUCUUUCAAUGUCAGCUCUCUCUCCCCACCUCCCCCGCUUUCUUUUUUUCUGAGACAGGGUCUUGCUCUGUUGCCCAGGCUGGAGUGCAGUAGUGCUAUCUCAACUUACUGCAGCCUCCGCCUCCAGGGCUUAAGUGAUCUUCCUGCCUCAGCCUCCUGAGUGGCUGGAAUCACAGGUGCACCAUCAUGCCUGGCUUGGUCACCAAACUUUUACUGUAAGGGGCAGACUGUCAAUAUUUUUGGCUUUGUCGGGUGCGGUGGCUCACGCCUGUAAUCCCAACACUUUGGGAGUCCAAGGUGGGUGGAUCACGAGGUCAGGAGUUAGAGACCAGCUUGGCCAACAUGGUGAAACCCCAUCUCUACUAAAAAUACAAAAAUUAGCUGGGGGUGGUGGCGGGCGCCUGUAAUACCAGCUGCUCGGGAGGCUGAGGCAGGAGAAUCGCUUGAGCCCAGGAGGCGGAGGUUGUAGUGAGCUGAGAUCACGCCAUUGCACUCCAGCCUGGGCAACACAGCAAGACUCCCUUUAAAAAAAAAAAUGGCACUGUGGAGCAGAUGGUCUCUGUUGGUUAACUCUACAGCCACAGACAAUAUGUAAAUAAUAUGUAAAUGUAUGAGCAUGGCUGUGCGCCAAUAAAACUUUAUUUACACAACAGACUGUGUGGCUGGCCUGGCAGGGUGGCUCACGGCUGUAAUCCCAGCACUUUGAGAGGCUGAGGCAGGUAGAUCACUUGAGGUUAGGAGUUCAAGACUUGAGGUCAGGAGUUCGAGACCAGCCUGGCCAACAUGGUGAAACCCUGUCUCUGCUAAUAUAUAAAACAUUACCCAGGCAUGGUGGCUUGCACCUGUAGUCCCAGCUACUGGGGAGGCUGAGGCAGGAGGCUGGCUUGAACCUGGGAGGUGGAGGUUGCAGUGAGCCACUGCACUGUAGCCUGGGUGACAGAGGGAGACUCCAUCUCCAAAUAAGUAAAAUUUAAAACCACAUUGAUUUUGGGAGGCCGAGGUAGGCAGAUCAUGAGGUUAGGAGUUCAAUAUCAGCCUGGACAACAUGGUGAAAUCCCGUCUCUACUAAAAAUACAAAAAUUAUCCAGUCAUGCUGGUGCACACCUGUAAUCCCAGCUACUUGGGAGGCUGAGGCGGGAGAAUCGUUUGAACCCGGGAGGGAGAGGCUGCAGUGAUCUGAGGUCGCAUCAUUGCACUCCAGCCUGGGCAACAAGGGUGAAACUCCGUCUCAGAACAAACAAACAAACAAACAACUAGGAAACAGCAGCCUCUCUGGAAGGCGGUUCCCGAUCCCCGCUCUUUGCCUAACAGGAGCCUGUCCCUUCCCAGCGCCGUGGUGCCCUCUAGGGGCGAGGUGCAAAAUACCAAAUUCGUGAGCCAAAGCUGGUCUUCCGUUAGGCUCCGGACUCACGACGUUUCACGCUGGAAGGGACCCCGGAGACUCACUCACCCAAUGCCCACAUUUUUCACAUACAGAAAACAAAAAGCAGCUGGGCACAGUGGUUCAUGCCUGCAAUCCCACACUUGGGAGGCCGAGGCAGGGGGAUCGCCUGAGGCCAGGAGUUCGAGACCAGCCUGGCCAACAUGGUGAAACCCUGUCACUACCAAAAAUACAAAAAUUAGGGCCGGGUGUGGUGGCUCACGCUUGUAAUCCCAGCACUUUGGUAGGCUGAGGCAGGAGAAUCACUUGAGCCUGGGAGGCCAAGGUUGCAGUGAGCCAAGAUUGCACCACUGCCCUCCUGCCUGGGCAAGAGUAAGACUCCAUCUUAAAAAAAAAAAAAAAUUAGCUGGGCGUGGUGGCGGGCACCUGUAGUCCCAAUUCCUUGGGAGGCUGAGGUUGCAGUGAGCCGAGAUCAGGCCACUGCACUACAGCCUGGGUGACGGCGAG